Molecule: ribosomal RNA, 1463 nt
Filed under: uncultured Klebsiella sp.
Lineage: Bacteria; Pseudomonadati; Pseudomonadota; Gammaproteobacteria; Enterobacterales; Enterobacteriaceae
Description: bacterial SSU rRNA
Rfam family: Bacterial small subunit ribosomal RNA
Source: RNAcentral
AUUGAACGCUGGCGGCAGGCCUAACACAUGCAAGUCGAGCGGUAGCACAGAGAGCUUGCUCUCGGGUGACGAGCGGCGGACGGGUGAGUAAUGUCUGGGAAACUGCCUGAUGGAGGGGGAUAACUACUGGAAACGGUAGCUAAUACCGCAUAAUGUCGCAAGACCAAAGUGGGGGACCUUCGGGCCUCAUGCCAUCAGAUGUGCCCAGAUGGGAUUAGCUAGUAGGUGGGGUAAUGGCUCACCUAGGCGACGAUCCCUAGCUGGUCUGAGAGGAUGACCAGCCACACUGGAACUGAGACACGGUCCAGACUCCUACGGGAGGCAGCAGUGGGGAAUAUUGCACAAUGGGCGCAAGCCUGAUGCAGCCAUGCCGCGUGUGUGAAGAAGGCCUUCGGGUUGUAAAGCACUUUCAGCGGGGAGGAAGGCGAUAAGGUUAAUAACCUUGUCGAUUGACGUUACCCGCAGAAGAAGCACCGGCUAACUCCGUGCCAGCAGCCGCGGUGAUACGGAGGGUGCAAGCGUUAAUCGGAAUUACUGGGCGUAAAGCGCACGCAGGCGGUCUGUCAAGUCGGAUGUGAAAUCCCCGGGCUCAACCUGGGAACUGCAUUCGAAACUGGCAGGCUAGAGUCUUGUAGAGGGGGGUAGAAUUCCAGGUGUAGCGGUGAAAUGCGUAGAGAUCUGGAGGAAUACCGGUGGCGAAGGCGGCCCCCUGGACAAAGACUGACGCUCAGGUGCGAAAGCGUGGGGAGCAAACAGGAUUAGAUACCCUGGUAGUCCACGCCGUAAACGAUGUCGAUUUGGAGGUUGUGCCCUUGAGGCGUGGCUUCCGGAGCUAACGCGUUAAAUCGACCGCCUGGGGAGUACGGCCGCAAGGUUAAAACUCAAAUGAAUUGACGGGGGCCCGCACAAGCGGUGGAGCAUGUGGUUUAAUUCGAUGCAACGCGAAGAACCUUACCUGGUCUUGACAUCCACAGAACUUUCCAGAGAUGGAUUGGUGCCUUCGGGAACUGUGAGACAGGUGCUGCAUGGCUGUCGUCAGCUCGUGUUGUGAAAUGUUGGGUUAAGUCCCGCAACGAGCGCAACCCUUAUCCUUUGUUGCCAGCGGUUCGGCCGGGAACUCAAAGGAGACUGCCAGUGAUAAACUGGAGGAAGGUGGGGAUGACGUCAAGUCAUCAUGGCCCUUACGACCAGGGCUACACACGUGCUACAAUGGCAUAUACAAAGAGAAGCGACCUCGCGAGAGCAAGCGGACCUCAUAAAGUAUGUCGUAGUCCGGAUUGGAGUCUGCAACUCGACUCCAUGAAGUCGGAAUCGCUAGUAAUCGUAGAUCAGAAUGCUACGGUGAAUACGUUCCCGGGCCUUGUACACACCGCCCGUCACACCAUGGGAGUGGGUUGCAAAAGAAGUAGGUAGCUUAACCUUCGGGAGGGCGCUUACCACUUUGUGAUUCAUGACUGGGGUGA